AGUGAGCGCUGGCGGUAGGCCUAACACAUGCAAGUCGAACGGCAGCACAGUAAGAGCUUGCUCUUACGGGUGGCGAGUGGCGGACGGGUGAGGAAUACAUCGGAAUCUACUUUUUCGUGGGGGAUAACGUAGGGAAACUUACGCUAAUACCGCAUACGACCUACGGGUGAAAGCAGGGGAUCUUCGGACCUUGCGCGAUUGAAUGAGCCGAUGUCGGAUUAGCUAGUUGGCGGGGUAAAGGCCCACCAAGGCGACGAUCCGUAGCUGGUCUGAGAGGAUGAUGCGCCAAACUGGAACUGAGAAACGGUCCAGACUCCUACGGGAGGCAGCAGUGGGGAAUAUUGGACAAUGGGCGCAAGCCUGAUCCAGCCAUACCGCGUGGGUGAAGAAGGCCUUCGGGUUGUAAAGCCCUUUUGUUGGGAAAGAAAAGCAGCAGGUUAAUACCCCGCUGUUCUGACGGUACCCAAAGAAUAAGCACCGGCUAACUUCGU
Molecule: ribosomal RNA, 491 nt
Filed under: uncultured bacterium
Lineage: Bacteria
Description: partial 16S ribosomal RNA
Rfam family: Bacterial small subunit ribosomal RNA
Source: RNAcentral